This 2728-nucleotide ribosomal RNA is filed under the name Staphylococcus aureus. RNAcentral's name for it is "partial 23S ribosomal RNA". It matches the Rfam family "Bacterial large subunit ribosomal RNA". Lineage: Bacteria; Bacillati; Bacillota; Bacilli; Caryophanales; Staphylococcaceae. The record is from RNAcentral.
GAUUAAGUUAUUAAGGGCGCACGGUGGAUGCCUUGGCACUAGAAGCCGAUGAAGGACGUUACUAACGACGAUAUGCUUUGGGGAGCUGUAAGUAAGCUUUGAUCCAGAGAUUUCCGAAUGGGGAAACCCAGCAUGAGUUAUGUCAUGUUAUCGAUAUGUGAAUACAUAGCAUAUCAGAAGGCACACCCGGAGAACUGAAACAUCUUAGUACCCGGAGGAAGAGAAAGAAAAUUCGAUUCCCUUAGUAGCGGCGAGCGAAAUGGGAAGAGCCCAAACCAACAAGCUUGCUUGUUGGGGUUGUAGGACACUCUAUACGGAGUUACAAAGGACGACAUUAGACGAAUCAUCUGGAAAGAUGAAUCAAAGAAGGUAAUAAUCCUGUAGUCGAAAAUGUUGUCUCUCUUGAGUGGAUCCUGAGUACGACGGAGCACGUGAAAUUCCGUCGGAAUCUGGGAGGACCAUCUCCUAAGGCUAAAUACUCUCUAGUGACCGAUAGUGAACCAGUACCGUGAGGGAAAGGUGAAAAGCACCCCGGAAGGGGAGUGAAAUAGAACCUGAAACCGUGUGCUUACAAGUAGUCAGAGCCCGUUAAUGGGUGAUGGCGUGCCUUUUGUAGAAUGAACCGGCGAGUUACGAUUUGAUGCAAGGUUAAGCAGUAAAUGUGGAGCCGUAGCGAAAGCGAGUCUGAAUAGGGCGUUUAGUAUUUGGUCGUAGACCCGAAACCAGGUGAUCUACCCUUGGUCAGGUUGAAGUUCAGGUAACACUGAAUGGAGGACCGAACCGACUUACGUUGAAAAGUGAGCGGAUGAACUGAGGGUAGCGGAGAAAUUCCAAUCGAACCUGGAGAUAGCUGGUUCUCUCCGAAAUAGCUUUAGGGCUAGCCUCAAGUGAUGAUUAUUGGAGGUAGAGCACUGUUUGGACGAGGGGCCCCUCUCGGGUUACCGAAUUCAGACAAACUCCGAAUGCCAAUUAAUUUAACUUGGGAGUCAGAACAUGGGUGAUAAGGUCCGUGUUCGAAAGGGAAACAGCCCAGACCACCAGCUAAGGUCCCAAAAUAUAUGUUAAGUGGAAAAGGAUGUGGCGUUGCCCAGACAACUAGGAUGUUGGCUUAGAAGCAGCCAUCAUUUAAAGAGUGCGUAAUAGCUCACUAGUCGAGUGACACUGCGCCGAAAAUGUACCGGGGCUAAACAUAUUACCGAAGCUGUGGAUUGUCCUUUGGACAAUGGUAGGAGAGCGUUCUAAGGGCGUUGAAGCAUGAUCGUAAGGACAUGUGGAGCGCUUAGAAGUGAGAAUGCCGGUGUGAGUAGCGAAAGACGGGUGAGAAUCCCGUCCACCGAUUGACUAAGGUUUCCAGAGGAAGGCUCGUCCGCUCUGGGUUAGUCGGGUCCUAAGCUGAGGCCGACAGGCGUAGGCGAUGGAUAACAGGUUGAUAUUCCUGUACCACCUAUAAUCGUUUUAAUCGAUGGGGGGACGCAGUAGGAUAGGCGAAGCGUGCGAUUGGAUUGCACGUCUAAGCAGUAAGGCUGAGUAUUAGGCAAAUCCGGUACUCAUUAAGGCUGAGCUGUGAUGGGGAGAAGACAUUGUGUCUUCGAGUCGUUGAUUUCACACUGCCGAGAAAAGCCUCUAGAUAGAAAAUAGGUGCCCGUACCGCAAACCGACACAGGUAGUCAAGAUGAGAAUUCUAAGGUGAGCGAGCGAACUCUCGUUAAGGAACUCGGCAAAAUGACCCCGUAACUUCGGGAGAAGGGGUGCUCUUUAGGGUUAACGCCCAGAAGAGCCGCAGUGAAUAGGCCCAAGCGACUGUUUAUCAAAAACACAGGUCUCUGCUAAACCGUAAGGUGAUGUAUAGGGGCUGACGCCUGCCCGGUGCUGGAAGGUUAAGAGGAGUGGUUAGCUUCUGCGAAGCUACGAAUCGAAGCCCCAGUAAACGGCGGCCGUAACUAUAACGGUCCUAAGGUAGCGAAAUUCCUUGUCGGGUAAGUUCCGACCCGCACGAAAGGCGUAACGAUUUGGGCACUGUCUCAACGAGAGACUCGGUGAAAUCAUAGUACCUGUGAAGAUGCAGGUUACCCGCGACAGGACGGAAAGACCCCGUGGAGCUUUACUGUAGCCUGAUAUUGAAAUUCGGCACAGCUUGUACAGGAUAGGUAGGAGCCUUUGAAACGUGAGCGCUAGCUUACGUGGAGGCGCUGGUGGGAUACUACCCUAGCUGUGUUGGCUUUCUAACCCGCACCACUUAUCGUGGUGGGAGACAGUGUCAGGCGGGCAGUUUGACUGGGGCGGUCGCCUCCUAAAAGGUAACGGAGGCGCUCAAAGGUUCCCUCAGAAUGGUUGGAAAUCAUUCAUAGAGUGUAAAGGCAUAAGGGAGCUUGACUGCGAGACCUACAAGUCGAGCAGGGUCGAAAGACGGACUUAGUGAUCCGGUGGUUCCGCAUGGAAGGGCCAUCGCUCAACGGAUAAAAGCUACCCCGGGGAUAACAGGCUUAUCUCCCCCAAGAGUUCACAUCGACGGGGAGGUUUGGCACCUCGAUGUCGGCUCAUCGCAUCCUGGGGCUGUAGUCGGUCCCAAGGGUUGGGCUGUUCGCCCAUUAAAGCGGUACGCGAGCUGGGUUCAGAACGUCGUGAGACAGUUCGGUCCCUAUCCGUCGUGGGCGUAGGAAAUUUGAGAGGAGCUGUCCUUAGUACGAGAGGACCGGGAUGGACAUACCUCUGGUGUACCAGUUGUCGU